RNAcentral lists this ribosomal RNA (468 nucleotides) under Synergistales bacterium canine oral taxon 231. RNAcentral describes it as "bacterial SSU rRNA". It matches the Rfam family "Bacterial small subunit ribosomal RNA", at positions 9 to 496 of the family's 1533-position model. The record is from RNAcentral. Lineage: Bacteria; Thermotogati; Synergistota; Synergistia; Synergistales.
GAGUUUGAUCAUGGCUCAGGAUGAACGCUGGCGGCGUGCGUAACACAUGCAAGUUGAACGACGGUGCCAUGAAGUGGUAACACGGAGUGGUAUACGGAGUAGCGGACGGGUGAGUAAAGCAUGAGAAUCUGUCCUGUCGAGGGGGAUAACGUUCGGAAACGGACCCUAAUACCCCAUAGUCCGAGAGGUUAAAGGCAGCGAUGCGCGGCAGGAGGAGCUCGUGUCCUAUCAGCUGGUUGGUGAGGUAACGGCUCACCAAGGCAACGACGGGUAGCCGGCCUGAGAGGGUGACCGGCCACACUGGAACUGAGAAACGGUCCAGACUCCUACGGGAGGCAGCAGUGGGGAAUAUUGGGCAAUGGGAGGAAUCCUGACCCAGCGACGCCGCGUGAACGAAGACGGCCUUCGGGUUGUAAAGUUCUUUUAUGUGGGAAGAAUGAAGUGACGUACCACAUGAAUAAGCCCCGG